RNAcentral lists this long non-coding RNA (2053 nucleotides) under Triticum aestivum (bread wheat). RNAcentral's name for it is "long non-coding RNA (TAES_LNC012071)". Lineage: Eukaryota; Viridiplantae; Streptophyta; Magnoliopsida; Poales; Poaceae. The record is from RNAcentral.
CCGUUAGUCUUAGGGUUAAUUAGAGAUAAGGGUCGCUUGCUUAGGGGUCAAGUAAGCCUUGCUUGGGAGUCAAGUAAACCUCUCUAUAUAAAGAGAGGAGAUGUAUCAAUCUAAUCAAGCAAGAAUUAAGAAGGAAAUCGCUUCCCUCUUGCCCGGCCAUGGGCAAAAAAGGCCCCCGGCCGGCCCUCUCGCGCCCUCCUUCUAGCAGCCACAUAACAAUUUGGUAUCAGCUAGCUUCGGUUCGAUCAUGUCUUCACCGCUGCCAAGCCCGUCUCUUCCGAUGCCGGUCACCUCGUCACCUCCAGCGACCACCACGACCGUCGCCCCGCUCCUGCCCGCUCCGGGAUCCUCCGUCGCGCCCGCCCCCGCCGUCCUCAACUCAGAGGAGGUGCUCGUUGUGUUGCGGGACCUAACCCAGGCGGUCUAGGAGAUCCACAUGUUCUUGGUCGGGUCCUAUGGGCCGUCCCCGGUUGUGCUGCCCAUCGCCGCCCUGCGCCGCCGUGGCUGCCGUGGCAGCCGCCGCACCAGGCGGCCUUUGCCAAGCCGCUGCAGCUGCCAUCCAUCACCACCACCGCCCAGCUCUGGCUGAAGUGGCAGCCGCCGCUCCUAGCGGCCUCUGCCGCGCCCGGCGCUUUGCUGCAGUAGCCGCUGCCGCUGCCCAGCGCGACACCGCAGCAGCCACCGCCGGUCAGCUCCGCCGCCCAGUAUGGGAUGCCCUACGACGGGACUGCGAUGACCUUGUUCCCAUCAGCGUCGUCGCCAUCCCAGGGCGUCCACAUCCAGCAGAUCAAGUCCCCGCCGCCGCAGUCACUGCUUCCGUCUUGUAUCGCUACCCGCCACAUAUCGGCGGCGGUGAGGCUGCAGGCUGCUACGCGCGGCCUCAUAGCGUGUCAGCGUGUGCGGGAGAUGCGUGGUCUGUAGUUGCUGCUCCUCCAAGUUGCCCUUCGCUGCACAAAGGACCUCGAUCUCGUCCGCUGCGUCGAGGAUCUUGGGCAUGCGGUUUCCCCAACGGGCGGCGGGCAUGCUGUUUUCCCCGUGGGCAGCGACCUCAAAGUCUGUGACAUCGGCGGUUGGGGGGGCGCACCCCUCCUCGACAUUUUCCAUCGCAAGCCCUCCACUCUUCCAUGUGCAAUGCAGACCAACAGCCAUACACAUGCACUCCUUUUGUCCACGUGGUAUCCAUGGGAUCCAGGUGGCUGUACACGUGCAUGUCCAAAAUAAAAGCGUCCCAGUCUAUUUCAGUUUGAGAGUAAUAACACAAGCCGAGAUGUAAAAUGCUUGUUUUUAGGUGUUAGGUUUGUGUUGCGUAGUCAUGGUUAUAAGUUGGUUAGGCUGCAGCUCGAGGACAAGUUGCAUGUCCAGGUGGGGUGUAGUGUUAGAGUACGUAAUGGGCCUGGGCUGGCGGUAUAGCCCGUUAGUCUUAGGGUUAAUUAGAGAUAAGGGUCGCUUGCUUAGGGGUCAGGUAAGCCUUGCUUGGAAGUCAAGUAAACCUCUCUAUAUAAAGAGAGGAGAUGUAUCAAUCUAAUCAAGCAAGAAUUAAGAAGGAAAUCCCUUUCCCCUUGCCCGGUCGUGGGCAAAAAAAGGCCUCCGGCCGGCCCUCUCACGCCCUCCUUUUAGCAGCCACAUAACAAUUAGUGUUAGAGUAUGUAAUGGGCCUGGGCUGGUGGUAUAGCCCGUUAGUCUUAGGGUUAAUUAGAGAUAAGGGUCGCUUGCUUAGGGGUCAAGUAAGCCUUGCUUGGGAGUCAAGUAAACCUCUCUAUAUAAAGAGAGGAGAUGUAUCAAUCUAAUCAAGCAAGAAUUAAGAAGAAAAUUCCUUCCCUCUUGCCCAACCGUGGGCAAAAAAGGCCCCGGGCCGGCCCUCUCGCGCCCUCCUUCUAGAAGCCACAUAAAAACCUCACAAUUUGGACAAGUAGUGAUCUAAAGCGUCUUAUAUUUGCUUACAGAGGGAGUACAUAAUAUGAAAAAUAUUGUAAACGUACUAUAUAAUACACAGAGUAUGUGAGGUCAACUCAACACUUAAAAUAAUCAAACUGUACUUUAUUAAGUCUCCCNN